This 24-nucleotide unclassified non-coding RNA is filed under the name Mus musculus (house mouse). RNAcentral's name for it is "oocyte_clustered_small_RNA9172". Lineage: Eukaryota; Metazoa; Chordata; Mammalia; Rodentia; Muridae. The record is from RNAcentral.
UGUGUUUCUCCGAGGCAAAGCAGC